GGCAACCGGAGGCAGGGAAAACAGAACCUGUCAGAUGGAAAAUAGGAACUGCCAUUUAAAGCGGUGGGAAGGAGGACCAGACGGAGCAUUCACAUUAAUCAAAACAGUGCCCUCUCAGAAGGACGGCAGGAGAGGAA
RNAcentral lists this long non-coding RNA (137 nucleotides) under Chinchilla lanigera (long-tailed chinchilla). Its description in RNAcentral is "lncRNA (ENSCLAG00000028859.1)". Lineage: Eukaryota; Metazoa; Chordata; Mammalia; Rodentia; Chinchillidae. The record is from RNAcentral.